GUCAGAUGCAGCUGUGCCAGCCCAAGACCCCAGCAACAGCGAUCCAGGAACAGAGACAGAGUUAGCUGACACAGCCCUGGAUCUGCUCCUCUUGCUACUAACAGAACAGUGGAAAUGGCUAUGUACCGAAAACAUGCAAAAGUUUCUUCGUCUUAUCUUUGGGACCCUAGUUCAAAGAUCUCGUAGUAGAAAUUCUUGGGGUGAACAAAUGCCGGCUGAGCUGGGGUCUAGUCCUGGAGUCACUACAACAACCCCUCAUCAACAGGCAUUUGAUUUACUGCCUUGGGGACAUCAUCCUGGAAUUCUUGGAUCUCAGUGCCUCUGUUGAGGAGUCUGCUGCUACCACCUCUGCCUCAGAUACCCCAGGCAACUCUAAGAGGAUGGGUGUCUCCUCUUAGCUGGUUAUUCACGCCUUCUUCCCAGGUCAGGGAAGUAGAGUUACUCGGCCACCAGAGACCAGUCAGGAAGCCCGUGCCCUCUUCAAGUAGGCUACAGCUAAGAAGGCCUAGGUUCUCGGUGGCUCACUUCUCUCCCACUUCUGCUCCAUUUGUAGCAGGUGACAGGGGUCUGUGUGUCCCAGUUGCAUGCAUGUUUAUUUCCCUGUUCCUUUUGUGAUGUUGGGAUUGUUGCUGGUGAGUAGAUCCUGUUUCCUUUGGGAAAAGAAGCUGUGAGGUAGAGGAAUGAACCCCUUUUGCUUCUCCUUUUGCCAUCCUCCCUGAGAUUGUUUGCCAGAAUCCUGGCCCUGUGCACACAUGUGCUUAAUCCACCAGCACACAAGCUCUAGGUAGAACAGGAAAAAAACUGUGGCCAGCUUUCCUUGGAGGAGAAAACAACCUUCUCAGCUCUCUAUUCCUACCCGGAAACUAAAAAUUCAUUCAGGGCCAUUCUCAAAAGCCAGACUCCUGGG
Molecule: small RNA, 907 nt
Filed under: Pan troglodytes (chimpanzee)
Lineage: Eukaryota; Metazoa; Chordata; Mammalia; Primates; Hominidae
Description: processed transcript
Source: RNAcentral